Long non-coding RNA from Lolium rigidum, 189 nucleotides. RefSeq lists it as uncharacterized. NCBI's taxonomy places the organism in Eukaryota, Viridiplantae, Streptophyta, Magnoliopsida, Poales, Poaceae. The record is from RefSeq and is a predicted model, not a curated record. The transcript has 3 exons.
GUUCAUCUCAUCCACAGCUCCACCCAACAAUGGCUAGAAGAAGUGUGGUCUUAAGCACCGCCAAGAUGAUGAAAUCUACAGACGUGGAACUCUAUCGAUAUUUGUGAAUGCUUGGCGCCAUGUAUAAGAGUACUGAGCUACGAAGCGGGCACAACUGUUCUCCAUGGCGGCGGCAAGGGGCCAGCUAAU